This is a long non-coding RNA of Tympanuchus pallidicinctus (lesser prairie-chicken), 1886 nucleotides long. RefSeq lists it as uncharacterized. The transcript has 3 exons. Lineage: Eukaryota; Metazoa; Chordata; Aves; Galliformes; Phasianidae. The record is from RefSeq and is a predicted model, not a curated record.
UUGUUAUUAGUGAACAGUAGAGUAUUUCAUACACUUUCCUUAUUGCUCAUACCAAUUGGAUUGAGUCAAAAUUGAACUGUCAUCACGAAAUAUUAGGGUGUUAACUCUUAGAUGUGAAACAAUCCUCAUUUGAUUGCAUAAACUCUUGGCAAUUAAAUGAUUAAAAAAAAAUUAUACAGGAAGAUCUUCAAACUUUGUGCUUAAUCCUUGGCAAAUAUUUGUUGACCAUUUCAGAUUUUCUUCCCUUUUAUUGUGUAUGGCAUAGUCAAGAUGAAAAGCACUCGGUAAGGGAGUCAAUUUUCUUUAAAAUGCAAAGUAUAUAGGUAAGAUCCUUGUUGAAAAGAUUUCUCCUGUGCCACCGUCUGUAGCCUGCCAGCUUACCAAGGAGAGUCACAACUGUUUAUUUUCUUAUGUUUUUAGAAAGGAGAUCAAGCACUAGUGAUUUUUAGAAAUGGCAUAGAGCUAAAGGACUACUGUUUAUCCACUGUUGCUGUAUCAUCUUUGCUUUCCAAUUUCUUUAGGUAAUGCCUGACAAUCUGGAAACAAAUAAACAAAUCUUCUCAUCGCGCUCACCAUGUGGUACUGUAACAGUAGCUUCUUUCUCAAAAAAGGACGGAUGUAUUGGCCCUCACCUCAUUCAGCUCUCUCACUAUUUUAUCUUAGGUUGUUCACAAUUGACAACUAGCUACUUGUAAUGCAGAUUAUGCAGGCUAUGCAGCGUCUGAGGAGGAUAACAGAAGUAAAAAAUAAAGCCCUCACUUUGGUUCAAAUGAAAACUAGACUUAAUAUGUUCACUUUAAAUGUCUUUCAGUAAUAUUCUCAUCCCUGAAUAAAGAUAAUUUCAACUAGUAGCCAAACGUAGAGGCUGUAUAGAACUACUGAGUCACGAUCACCUGAAGCAAGCACUGAGACAGCCCUGCGAGCACGGGUGAAGGCGAUCCAGCUGUGUGACCAGAAAGGAUGGAGCCUGGCUGCACCUCUGUUAGACCCCCCAUUUAAGGACUGACAGCCACAGGGGAAGGGUCUCUCUCUGGAGGUCCCUCCUCUUGGAGUUUUUCUUGCAAGCCCAGGACACAGAGAGUUUGCACAUGGAAGCGUGACUGUGCUUGCAGUUCUGCAGUACAAAAGGCAACCAGGGCAUAAUCAAGGAAAGAACUGCCUAGGAUGUCAGGGCUGGCCACUGACGGGGAAAAAAAAUGAAUCGGAUGAGAACUGAGAGAAGUAUAAGAAACCAAGCACAGAACUCCAUGGCCUCGAAGUCUGAAAAUGAAACACUAAAAACAGAAAGCACGAAACAACUACAAAAACUGUGUUGUUCUUACUGUACAGAUUUCCCAGGAAAAAUCUGUAGUAGUUUUAAUGAAAUAAUUCAGCUUGCCUUUUUGCCUGAAAGGAACAAUGCAGCAUUAUUAUUUUCAUACUAAGGGUUCUUGUCUGAUUUCACUUGUGUUUGAACAUGCCUCUGGGGCUUCUGAGAAUGGCCAGUACCCUGUUUGAUGAAGUAACUGGUGUCUGCACCCAAGAUGAAACUUACCUCUAAGCAGAGUCAGCCAAAGGUCUCUCUACUGUUUAAAUGAAAUUAAGAGUUUAUUCUGAUCCUCUGCAGUGUAUUAAUCUUUCCUUGGGAAAGAAAAAAAAAAAUCUACGCUGCACAUUUCAGACUAUAUAUGUUUCACUUAAAAGGAGAAAAAAGCCUCAGGUGAACACUUUCAAGAUUACGUUUCAGGAUUUUGAUUUCCUUUUUCUGAUUAAAAUAAUCAAUCACAUUAAAUGAAAUCAAAACAGUCAGAAUACUCCCCUGUCUUGUAAAAACCCUAUGCAUCCAGUUCUUGAGCUUGUACGUGCAUUUUUGUUACGCUGUGGACUGAUAAUUCUGCAAAAUAUUA